Molecule: ribosomal RNA, 817 nt
Filed under: Triticum aestivum (bread wheat)
Lineage: Eukaryota; Viridiplantae; Streptophyta; Magnoliopsida; Poales; Poaceae
Description: partial small subunit ribosomal RNA
Source: RNAcentral
CAUUAACUACCAGCUGCGAGGCGAAGGAGAGGGGUGCUACAGGUGUUCUUUGACUGCCCAAGGGAAAAUUUCAACGACGGGGUGAGUAAAAUAAGGGUAGCAGGAGGGUAUACCUACCUACAGACGGUAUGCUGCGAGUAUGACGACGGUCACGGAAGGUAAAUUUAGGAAGCCCAAAGAAGAGCCGACGGAACCCUAGCUCGACGACAAAAGAAUGACUUCUAAUGAGGGGUGUGUGAGAGGUUAUACUUCUCAUGAAGGGUCCGUGCGAGGUUAGAUUUCCGUGUCACUUCUCAAAGGACCACAGUGUACGAAUGAGGUUUAUAGUGUAUAUGUUCACACAUUUCUGAUAGAUCGUGUACGAGUAGCCACGAAGGCAGCCUGACGCGUAGUACCCCAGCUUCGGAGGACUAGCUCCACGUACGAAGUUCUAUUUAGUUGGAACGCCAGUACCACUACAACUUCAGAGGGAAGUAGAGGUAGACUACGUAGUGUGUCGACCGAGAUGCCAAUAAUACUACAAAAGACAAAGAGGUAGAGCGACGGUCGAACGUCGGAUUCGAAAUGUAUUACGUCUUCGUACGUAUCAACGCUUAGUCUCUUCCGUUUUUAUUAUUAUUAGUCUCCACGGAUCCAUAUGAUAGUACUUUCUGUUGGGUUUUAUUUAUCGUCAUACAACGUGUUUUAACAAGGCGACUCUUCUGAUUUUUCACUCAGAGAACUAAAUAUCCACUGGGAAAAUAAUAUCUUUUAGUCUAAUACACAUUUGGGUGCAAAAUAUAUUAAAAAGUUACCUUACGUGUUGUUAUCAAAGAUG